This 550-nucleotide ribosomal RNA is filed under the name uncultured Pseudomonas sp. RNAcentral describes it as "bacterial SSU rRNA". It matches the Rfam family "Bacterial small subunit ribosomal RNA", at positions 1 to 545 of the family's 1533-position model. Lineage: Bacteria; Pseudomonadati; Pseudomonadota; Gammaproteobacteria; Pseudomonadales; Pseudomonadaceae. The record is from RNAcentral.
UCUAGAUUAGAGUUUGAUCCUGGCUCAGAUUGAACGCUGGCGGCAGGCCUAACACAUGCAAGUCGAGCGGUAGAGAGAAGCUUGCUUCUCUUGAGAGCGGCGGACGGGUGAGUAAUGCCUAGGAAUCUGCCUGGUAGUGGGGGAUAACGCUCGGAAACGGACGCUAAUACCGCAUACGUCCUACGGGAGAAAGCAGGGGACCUUCGGGCCUUGCGCUAUCAGAUGAGCCUAGGUCGGAUUAGCUAGUUGGUGAGGUAAUGGCUCACCAAGGCGACGAUCCGUAACUGGUCUGAGAGGAUGAUCAGUCACACUGGAACUGAGACACGGUCCAGACUCCUACGGGAGGCAGCAGUGGGGAAUAUUGGACAAUGGGCGAAAGCCUGAUCCAGCCAUGCCGCGUGUGUGAAGAAGGUCUUCGGAUUGUAAAGCACUUUAAGUUGGGAGGAAGGAUUGUAGAUUAAUACUCUGCAAUUUUGACGUUACCGACAGAAUAAGCACCGGCUAACCCUGUGCCAGCAGCCGCGGUAAUACAGAGGGUGCAAGCGUUAAU